This 459-nucleotide ribosomal RNA is filed under the name Streptococcus sanguinis. RNAcentral describes it as "bacterial SSU rRNA". It matches the Rfam family "Bacterial small subunit ribosomal RNA", at positions 28 to 470 of the family's 1533-position model. Lineage: Bacteria; Bacillati; Bacillota; Bacilli; Lactobacillales; Streptococcaceae. The record is from RNAcentral.
GACGAACGCUGGCGGCGUGCCUAAUACAUGCAAGUAGAACGCUGAAGAGAGGAGCUUGCUCUUCUUGGAUGAGUUGCGAACGGGUGAGUAACGCGUAGGUAACCUGCCUGGUAGCGGGGGAUAACUAUUGGAAACGAUAGCUAAUACCGCAUGAAAUUGCUUAUCGCAUGAUAAUUAAUUGAAAGAUGCAAUUGCAUCACUACCAGAUGGACCUGCGUUGUAUUAGCUAGUUGGUGAGGUAACGGCUCACCAAGGCGACGAUACAUAGCCGACCUGAGAGGGUGAUCGGCCACACUGGGACUGAGACACGGCCCAGACCUCCUACGGGAGGCAGCAGUAGGGAAUCUUCGGCAAUGGGGGGAACCCUGACCGAGCAACGCCGCGUGAGUGAAGACGGUUUUCGGAUCGUAAAGCUCUGUUGUAAGAGAAGAACGGGUGUGAGAGUGGAAAGUUCACACU